Molecule: ribosomal RNA, 400 nt
Filed under: phytoplankton environmental sample
Lineage: Eukaryota
Description: partial small subunit ribosomal RNA
Rfam family: Eukaryotic small subunit ribosomal RNA
Source: RNAcentral
AGCUCCAAUAGCGUAUAUUAAAGUUGUUGCAGUUAAAAAGCUCGUAGUUGGAUUUCGGGGCAGUCUGGCUGGUCCGUCGCAAGACGAGCACUGGUCAGCUGCCCUUCCUCUCGAAAGCCCCGACUGCUCUUCGUUGCAGUGGUCGGGGAGUUCGGGACGUUUACUUUGAAAAAAUUAGAGUGUUCAAGGCAGGCUCGCGCCUGAAUGCAUUAGCAUGGAAUAAUGGAAAAGGACCUCGGUCCUAUUUUGUUGGUUUCUGGGGCCGAAGUAAUGAUUAAGAGGGACAGUUGGGGGCAUUCGUAUUUCGUUGUCAGAGGUGAAAUUCUUGGAUUUACGAAAGACGAACAACUGCGAAAGCAUUUGCCAAGAGUGUUUUCAUUAAUCAAGAACGAAAGUACGC